RNAcentral lists this unclassified non-coding RNA (335 nucleotides) under soil metagenome. Its description in RNAcentral is "partial contains 5.8S ribosomal RNA, internal transcribed spacer 2, and large subunit ribosomal RNA". The stretch from base 1 to 120 matches the Rfam family "5.8S ribosomal RNA", at positions 35 to 154 of the family's 154-position model. The record is from RNAcentral.
GAUGAAGAACGUAGCGAAAUGCGAUAAGUAGUGUGAAUUGCAGAAUUCAGUGAAUCAUCGAAUCUUUGAACGCACAUUGCGCCCCUUGGUAUUCCAUGGGGCAUGCCUGUUCGAGCGUCAUUUGUACCUUCAAGCUUUGCUUGGUGUUGGGUGUUUGUCUCGCCUUUGCGUGUAGACUCGCCUUAAAAUAAUUGGCAGCCGGCGUAUUGAUUUCGGAGCGCGGUACAUCUCGCGCUUUGCACUCAUAACGACAGCGUCCAAAAGUACAUUUUACACUCUUGACCUCGGAUCAGGUAGGGAUACCCGCUGAACUUAAGCAUAUCAAAAGCGGAGGA